UGGAAGUAAAAGUCGUAACAAGGUUUCCGUAGGUGAACCUGCGGAAGGAUCAUUACAGAAUGAAAAGUGCUUAACUGCAUUUUUUCUUACACAUGUGUUUUUCUUUUUUUGAAAACUUUGCUUUGGUAGGCCUUCUAUAUGGGGCCUGCCAGAGAUUAAACUCAACCAAAUUUUAUUUAAUGUCAACCGAUUAUUUAAUAGUCAAAACUUUCAACAACGGAUCUCUUGGUUCUCGCAUCGAUGAAGAACGCAGCGAAAUGCGAUAAGUAAUAUGAAUUGCAGAUAUUCGUGAAUCAUCGAAUCUUUGAACGCACAUUGCGCCCUUUGGUAUUCCAAAGGGCAUGCCUGUUUGAGCGUCAUUUCUCCCUCAAACCCUCGGGUUUGGUGUUGAGCGAUACGCUGGGUUUGCUUGAAAGAAAGGCGGAGUAUAAACUAAUGGAUAGGUUUUUUCCACUCAUUGGUACAAACUCCAAAACUUCUUCCAAAUUCGACCUCAAAUCAGGUAGGACUACCCGCUGAACUUAAGCAUAUC
This 532-nucleotide unclassified non-coding RNA is filed under the name Lodderomyces parapsilosis. Its description in RNAcentral is "Candida parapsilosis sequence contains 18S rRNA gene, ITS1, 5.8S rRNA gene, ITS2, 28S rRNA gene". The stretch from base 206 to 359 matches the Rfam family "5.8S ribosomal RNA". The record is from RNAcentral. Lineage: Eukaryota; Fungi; Ascomycota; Pichiomycetes; Serinales; Debaryomycetaceae.